GACCUGGUGGCGAAUGGUACGCACUCGCACUCUAUGAACGAUGGGACAGUAUCAUCGCGGGCGGUCCUGGUUCGAAUCCAGGCUAGGUCG
Mycena epipterygia is the source of this 90-nucleotide non-coding RNA. The record is from the annotation of a GenBank genome assembly. Lineage: Eukaryota; Fungi; Basidiomycota; Agaricomycetes; Agaricales; Mycenaceae.